AGAGUGAACGCUGGCGGCAGGCCUAACACAUGCAAGUCGAACGGCAGCACAGGGGAGCUUGCUCCCUGGGUGGCGAGUGGCGGACGGGUGAGGAAUACAUCGGAAUCUGCCCAAUCGUGGGGGAUAACGUAGGGAAACUUACGCUAAUACCGCAUACGACCUUCGGGUGAAAGCGUGGGACCGCAAGGCCACGCGCGAUUGGAUGAGCCGAUGUCGGAUUAGCUUGUUGGCGGGUAAAAGCCCACCAAGGCGACGAUCCGUAGCUGGUCUGAGAGGAUGAUCAGCCACACUGGAACUGAGACACGGUCCAGACUCCGUACGGGACGGCAGCAGGUGGGGAAUAGUUGGACAAGUGGGCGCAAGCCUGGACUCCAGACCAUCGCCGCGUGUGU
RNAcentral lists this ribosomal RNA (392 nucleotides) under uncultured soil bacterium. Its description in RNAcentral is "bacterial SSU rRNA". It matches the Rfam family "Bacterial small subunit ribosomal RNA", at positions 26 to 406 of the family's 1533-position model. The record is from RNAcentral.